CCGAGGAGGAGCCAGAGCCCUCCCCACUGCUCCUGCCCCCGCGGGACUGCAGGCCCCGCGUUCCUUUACGGGCGAGGCGUGAUGGCUCUGGAAUAGGCGAGGAAGCUAGCAACCAGGGAUUACAACUGGAAGCUACUUGCAUGAGCUAAACCCAGCUCAGUCCCUACAGGAAGCUGCUGACGGCAUUUACCCUUCAAGGUUGGGGACGUUUAGGAGGGAAAGAGCUUCUGUGAAGCUUCCAAACACUAAAAGGACCCCACUGUCCAGCAGUGACCACACAAAUACACCCUCCUUCCCAGUGAGCUGGCACCAAGCAGCCUCCUGGCCAUUGGAGUAGCUCCUGCAGCUGGCUGGGGGAACAGAACCAGGGGAGUUUGGGGAGGCACUUGGCACACCCCAAAAUUUAAUAUAUUGAGAAUUUAGUUUGAGACUGUCUCUUCCUCAUUGCAAAAGUAGGUGGAAUGAAAAAUGGGGUGGAUUUGGGGGACCUUUGGUGGAUUGCCUCUCAGAGCCUCCCCCAAAUAUUAGAGAGCCAAGGCACCAGCAGCCAUUCUUGCUGGUCUCAUCUCAAUGCUUCCUGAAGUGGCUGUUCUGAGUGUUUAAAGCAUGAAAAAAAAAAAAAAAAACAGUUAUGCCAAA
Myotis brandtii (Brandt's bat) is the source of this 639-nucleotide long non-coding RNA. RefSeq lists it as uncharacterized. The transcript is spliced from 2 exons. NCBI's taxonomy places the organism in Eukaryota, Metazoa, Chordata, Mammalia, Chiroptera, Vespertilionidae. The record is from RefSeq and is a predicted model, not a curated record.